CCCGUAUCCUAAAUAAAAUAACAACUAUAAAAUAGUGAACUCAAACAAAAACUAUUUGGCGAAAGUAAAAUACAUUUGAUAUAAAAUGAAAGGUUGAAAUAAAAAAAAAAUAUUGAAAGUUGGUCCCAAUUUAUUAGCCUAUCUUAACAUAAACCUAGUAAAAUUUCCAUGAUUGAAUGAUUAACUGAAACAUAACCCAGCACCAAUUCAAGUAUGACACAGGAGAUGACCCUCUUUUUUUCAUGCAACACUAUACAUUAUUAUUUAUUCAGUACACAUUUUAUUAUUUAAUGAUCAUCAUUAAUUAUCCAGGAACUCAUUAAUCAGUUUAUAUAACUGCUAUUGCUUUUAAAAUCAUAUGGAACUACAAAUUUUAAACCAAAUAUUAUGUUUUAUAUACUUGAACAUAUAAAACAAUUUGG
This 422-nucleotide long non-coding RNA is filed under the name Mytilus galloprovincialis (Mediterranean mussel). Lineage: Eukaryota; Metazoa; Mollusca; Bivalvia; Mytilida; Mytilidae. The record is from RNAcentral.